RNAcentral lists this long non-coding RNA (1588 nucleotides) under Equus caballus (horse). RNAcentral describes it as "lncRNA (ENSECAG00000059346.1)". Lineage: Eukaryota; Metazoa; Chordata; Mammalia; Perissodactyla; Equidae. The record is from RNAcentral.
UUAGACCUGUGUUUUCUGGGAGCUGUAACUGGAAUUCUCUAUAAGCCAAUUAAACUCCUUUUGACGAGUUCAGGGGAAUCAGCGUGUUUGUGUUGGCUUGCCGGGCCUUCAAGGCUCACAGACUUAGCCAGCUCAGGCACAGUUCGGCAGCCAGAGAAGGCAUUAGUCUCCCCCACAUAUCUACCCUGCAGGCUUCAUGGUGAAGAGCAAUGCCAGGGAGUUCAAGUGAUUACUUGCUUUAGGGAAACAAAAGCCAACAACCCAAGAAUCAACGUCCCCAAGAAAAGGUCAAUAGGCCUCAGUGCUGUAAUGGAUGUAACAAAUAUUUAAAUAAGGAUAAUAUAAAAAUGUGUUUGCUCAUUGAUUUAUUUCCAAUGACUUGGCUUUCACUCCACUGAGUGGUUCACAAAUUCAAACUUGAUUUCUGCUGACACGUUAGCCACACCGCUUCUCUUUUCCUUCCUUCCAUCUGCCUUUCAAUCACAUUUCACAGUCCCUUCCAAAAGGACCACAAAGUAUAGCACCAGCGAUAUUCUCAGUCUAUCAAAUGACUACAUAUUAAGUGGCUUUGUAAAGCAGUGAACCUGAGCCAAGUUUCUGUACAAUGCCGAGGAAAAGCCAGGGCUCUGGAGAGACUGGUCCAGGCCACAGGGAAUGGCCAGGCCCACUUCAAUCCUAACCAUCAGAGUAGCUUCUUCCCUUCCCAAAGCUUGAGUCCUACGGGAGGAAGAAGACGAGGAUCUCCUUGAAUUUAGAAUUGCAAUACGUCUCAGCUGGAAGGGCCCCAAGAGAUCCCCUAGUUUAGCCCAAGGAAGCAAAGUUUGGGCCACUAUAAAGAGAACUGCCCAAGAUCCUCAACUGAUAUACAGGGGAAAACAAGAGAGGAAGAAUACUGGCCUUCAGGAUGCUGCCCGCUUCUCCCUUCUGCCCACCCAGCAGCAUGCAAGCAAGCAUGCUUCAACUUAAUCAUAAGUGAACCUCAAACCACAGCUGAGGAUUGUUUUGAUUCUUGCUUGGAAAUAAUCCCAGUGCCUUCUUGGGUGGAAUGAAGUAUGUGAGGUGGGAGAAGAGGUCCCAGGCGGGAUUAUCUGCUACACAGACUGAUCUUUGUACCCACUUCCAUGUGCAUUCCCAUGCGCUCUGUCUUCGAAAGCCAUGGGGUGCUAGUGGUUCUCUCCCAACAUUUUUUCAUGAAAAUUUCCCGUGGGCACUCCAGCACCAUGUCAAGAUCAUUGACUGUAGACUCGUCACUACACCCACUGGUCUCUCAAAGAGGACAGAAAAAGCUACAGCCUUUCACUACAGUUCUUCUUUCAACUCAGGUUUUCCAAUCAAGAUGGAGUAACAGGAACUGGAUUUACACUCUUAUCUGAAACAACCAAAAAUCCCCAGACAAUGUACAUGAAAACAACAGUGAUCGUGACACUAGGCAUUAAGCAAUGAAGAACAGGGAUCCUGGAGAAAUAGGAAACCAGCAAGAUUAGCCCUGAGCUAACUGCUGCCAAUCCUCCUCUUUCUGCUGAGGAAGACUGGCCCUGAGCUAACAUCCAUGCCCAUCUUCCUCUACUUUACAUGUGGGACACCUACC